AAUAAGCUAAAUAAGAGCGUAUGGGGAAUGCCUAGGCUCUCAGAGGCGAUGAAGGACGUGAUAAGCUGCGAAAAGUUGCGGGGAUUGGCACAUACAAAUUGAUCCGCAAAUAUCCGAAUGGGGCAACCCACUAUAUUGAAGAUAUAGUAUUCUGAACUUGUUUCAGAGGCAAACCCAGGGAACUGAAACAUCUAAGUACC
RNAcentral lists this ribosomal RNA (200 nucleotides) under uncultured Flavobacteriaceae bacterium. RNAcentral's name for it is "partial 23S ribosomal RNA". It matches the Rfam family "Bacterial large subunit ribosomal RNA", at positions 1 to 210 of the family's 2925-position model. The record is from RNAcentral. Lineage: Bacteria; Pseudomonadati; Bacteroidota; Flavobacteriia; Flavobacteriales; Flavobacteriaceae.